ACAAAGAGAAGGAAAAAAAAGUAACCGUUGCCACGGGUUACUAAGAAGCGUGUGCGCGCGCAACUUGGUAACGGCGGAUGGAUGGAUAGAUAAAUACGGCUGAGCCCUUUGGAUCCGGCGGUAGCUUACGCCACCUAGCCACAAAAACGUCGGGAAAGUGGAUCGCGCUGCCUGGUGGAGGGCAGACACACCACUCGCCUCGGCUAGUGUGUCUGCCCUCCGCCAGGAGGCACUCAAUUUUAUUUUGAACUAUUUAUUAAGGGAAGCAUUCUCGUUGAUCUCCCUUCAUUAAUACUGGUCGUAUCUCAUCACCGCUGGCACCGAUGUGUUCCUUGUUCUUUCUAGACUCUAUGGACACCACUUUGAACCUCGAGCGAGUUGCACGGCUGGCCCUCCGUUUCAAGAAACCAAUGGCCUCCUGACCCGAGUCUUCUUCAGCUGCGGAUGACCGCUUCAAUGGAAACACCGAUUGUGACAACUCUCUGCGAGCAACAUGUGUGUUCACCUGUGCUUCAUCAAAGACCGCGGGAUGGGAAACACCGAUUGUGACAACUCUCUGCGAGCAACAUAUGUGUGAAAUCGUGCUAGCUAGCUCCUAG
Molecule: long non-coding RNA, 599 nt
Filed under: Ixodes scapularis (black-legged tick)
Lineage: Eukaryota; Metazoa; Arthropoda; Arachnida; Ixodida; Ixodidae
Description: uncharacterized LOC121834395
Source: RNAcentral